Molecule: ribosomal RNA, 2099 nt
Filed under: Clostridioides difficile
Lineage: Bacteria; Bacillati; Bacillota; Clostridia; Peptostreptococcales; Peptostreptococcaceae
Description: partial 23S ribosomal RNA
Rfam family: Bacterial large subunit ribosomal RNA
Source: RNAcentral
UCCGUAAGUAGCGGCGAGCGAACGCGGAUUAGCCCAAACCAAUAAAGUUUUCUUUAUUGGGGUUGCGGACAUAUCAUAACGAAGAGGUAUCGUAAUUGAAGAGGUUUGGAAAGACCCACCACAGAAGGUAAUAGUCCUGUAUGUUAAACGAGAAGACUUCAGAUAUGAUCCAGAGUACCACGGGACACGUGAAACCCUGUGGGAAGCAGGAGGGACCACCCUCCAAGGCUAAAUACUACCUAGUGACCGAUAGCGUAUAGUACCGUGAGGGAAAGGUGAAAAGAACCCCGGGAGGGGAGUGAAAUAGAACCUGAAACCCUGCACUUACAAGCUGUGGAAGCACAUUUCUUGUGUGACCGCGUACUUUUUGUAGAACGGGCCAACGAGUUACGUUAAGUAGCAAGGUUAAGCACUUAAGGUGCGGAGCCGUAGCGAAAGCGAGUUUUAACUGAGCGUUCAGUUACUUGACGUAGACCCGAAACCGGGCGACCUACCCAUGAGCAGGAUGAAGCGAAAGUAAAAUUUCGUGGAGGUCCGAACCCACGAGCGUUGAAAAGCUCGGGGAUGACUUGUGGGUAGCGGUGAAAUUCCAAUCGAGCCCGGAGAUAGCUGGUUCUCCCCGAAAUAGCUUUAGGGCUAGCCUCAAGGUGAGAGAUACGGAGGUAGAGCACUGAAUGUCCUAGGGGGUAUUGCACCUACCGAAGACUAUCAAACUCCGAAUGCCGUCAUCUUAUACUUGGGAGUCAGACUGUGGGUGAUAAGAUUCAUAGUCGAAAGGGCAACAGCCCAGAUCGUCAGCUAAGGUCCCUAAAUGUAAGUUAAGUGGUAAAGGAUGUGGGAUUGCACAGACAACCAGGAUGUUGGCUUAGAAGCAGCCACUCAUUCAAAGAGUGCGUAAUAGCUCACUGGUCGAGUGAUCCUGCGCCGAAGAUUUCCGGGGCUAAAACUUACUACCGAAGCUACGGCAUCAGUAAUGAUGGGUAGGGGAGCUUCCCAUACGGGUUGAAGCAUGACCGUAAGGACAUGUGGACAGUAUGGGAGUGAGAAUGUUGGCAUGAGUAGCGAGAUGUGGGUGAGAAUCCCACAGGCCGUAAACCCAAGGUUUCCAGGGGAAGGUUCGUCCGCCCUGGGUUAGUCGGGACCUAAGCUGAGGCCGAAAGGCGUAGGUGAUGGACAACAGGUUGAUAUUCCUGUACUACCGAUAACCGUUUGAGAGAAGGGAUGACACAGUAGGAUAAGCUAAGCACACUGUUGGUUAUGUGUGCCCAAGCAUUGAGGCAGUCAAAGCAGGCAAAUCCGCUUUGAUAAUGCUGGGAUGUGAUGGGGAGCGAAAUUUAGUAGCGAAGUAGCUGAUUUCACACUGUCAAGAAAAGUCUCUAUCGAGGUUAAAGGUACCCGUACCGCAAACCGACACAGGUGGGUGAGGAGAGUAUCCUAAGGCCAGCGAGAGAACUGUUGUUAAGGAACUCGGCAAAAUGACCCCGUAACUUAGGGAUAAGGGGUGCCACCAUCCGGUGGCCGCAGAGAAUAGGCCCAAGCGACUGUUUACCAAAAACAUAGGUUUCUGCUAAGUCGCAAGACGAUGUAUAGGAGCUGACGCCUGCCCGGUGCUGGAAGGUUAAGGGGAUCUGUUAGAGCAAUCGAAGCAGUGAACUUAAGCCCCAGUAAACGGCGGCCGUAACUAUAACGGUCCUAAGGUAGCGAAAUUCCUUGUCGGGUAAGUUCCGACCCGCACGAAAGGCGUAACGAUUUGGGCACUGUCUCAACAACAGACUCGGUGAAAUUGUAAUUCCGGUGAAGAUGCCGGAUACCUGCGACAGGACGGAAAGACCCCAUGGAGCUUUACUGUAGCUUGACAUUGGGUCUUGGUACUACAUGUACAGGAUAGGUGGGAGGCUUUGAAACCAGGACGCCAGUUUUGGCGGAGCCAUCCUUGGGAUACCACCCUUGUAGUACUGGGACUCUAACCAUAGGCCAUGAAUCUGGUCUUGGGACACUGUCAGGUGGGCAGUUUGACUGGGGCGGUCGCCUCCCAAAAGGUAACGGAGGCGCUCAAAGGUUCUCUCAGUACGGUCGGAAAUCGUACGUAGAGUGUAAAG